AAGGGAGGUUGUUGAUCUUGGAAGCUAAGGGAAAUGAGGGAUUUGCUUGAUGCUAAACACAUAUUGCUUGAGUGGAGAUUACCCAGGUAUGGUUACUAUGUCUUCAAUGUUUCCAUUAAAUCCUUGUUCUUCUCUGUUUAUCUUCUCUUCGCUGCCCUUUGUUGCGCAUGCAUUCAUUUUUUGUGGGGAUCUCCUAUUAGAGGAGGGAGAAGAGAGGGGAAGAAAAAGAAAAGAAUCGGAGAAGGGAGGUUGUUGAUCUUGGAAGCUAAGGGAAAUGAGGGAUUUGCUUGAAGCUAAGCACAUAUUGCUUGAGUGGAGAUUACCCAUGGUUACUAUGCUUUCAAUGUUUCCAUUAAAACCUUGUUCUUCUCUGUUUAUCUUCUCUUCAUUGCCCUUUGUUGGGCAUGCAUUGAUUUUUACUGGGGAUCUCCUAUUAGAGGAGGGAGAAGGGAGGGGAAGAAAAAGAAAAGAAUCAGAGAAGGGAGGUUGUUGAUCUUGGAAGCUAAGGGAAACGAGGGAUUUGCUUGAUGCUAAGCACAUAUUGCUUGAGUGGAGAUUACCCAGGUAUGGUUACUAUGUUUUCAAUGUUUCCAUUAAAACCUUGUUCUUCUCUGUUUAUCUUCUCUUCACUGCCCUUUGUUGGGCAUGCAUUGAUUUUUACUGGGGAUCUCCUAUUAGAGGAGGGAGAAGGGAGGGGAAGAAAAAGAAAAGAAUCGGAGAAGGGAGGUUGUUGAUCUUGGAAGCUAAGGGAAAUGAGGGAUUUGCUUGAUGCUAAGCACAUAUUGCUUGAGUGGAGAUUACCCAGGUAUGGUUACUAUGUCUUCAAUGUUUCCAUUAAAACCUUGUUCUUCUCUUUUUAUCUUCUCUUCACUGCCCUUUGUUGCGCAUGCGUUCAUUUUUUGUGGGGGUCUCCUAUUAGAGGAGGGAGAAGGGAGGGGAAGAAAAAGAAAAGAAUCGGAGAAGGGAGGUUGUUGAUCUUGGAAGCUAAGGGAAAUGAGGGAUUUGCUUGAUGCUAAGCACAUAUUGCUUGAGUGGAGAUUACCCAGGUAUGGUUACUAUGUCUUCAAUGUUUCCAUUAAAACCUUGUUCUUCUCUUUUUAUCUUCUCUUCACUGCCCUUUGUUGCGCAUGCGUUCAUUUUUUGUGGGGAUCUCCUAUUAGAGGAGGGAGAAGGGAGGGGAAGAAAAAGAAAAGAAUCGGAGAAGGGAGGUUGUUGAUCUUGGAAGCUAAGGGAAAUGAGGGAUUUGCUCGAUGCUAAGCACAUAUUUGCUUGAGUGGAGAUUACCCAGGUAUGGUUACUAUGUCUUCAAUGUUUCCAUUAAAACCUUGUUCUUCUCUGUUUAUCUUCUCUUCACUGCCCUUUGUUGCACAUGGGUCGGCAAGCUCUGCAACUUAUUGCUCCUAUUCUUCUUCGCUGGUGUCUCUCUUGUUGAGCCUCGGACUUUGCAGUUUUGUUUGGAGUCCUACUGGUGUUUAGUCGUUUUUGUUCAUUAUUUAGCAUUCAGCUCUUGCUCGUGUAUUUGAGCAUAAGAAUGUCUGUUUCUUGGGUAUGUUGUAAACAGUGUUUGAAAUAUAUUUUUCUCUGAAAUUUCGGUAAUCGGCCGGCUCCCGUC
This 1612-nucleotide long non-coding RNA is filed under the name Vitis vinifera (wine grape). Its description in RNAcentral is "long non-coding RNA (VVIN_LNC000372)". The record is from RNAcentral. Lineage: Eukaryota; Viridiplantae; Streptophyta; Magnoliopsida; Vitales; Vitaceae.